RNAcentral lists this ribosomal RNA (397 nucleotides) under uncultured bacterium. Its description in RNAcentral is "partial 16S ribosomal RNA". It matches the Rfam family "Bacterial small subunit ribosomal RNA", at positions 523 to 916 of the family's 1533-position model. The record is from RNAcentral.
AUACGUAGGGGGCGAGCGUUAUCCGGAAUGACUGGGCGUAAAGCGCGUGUAGGCGGCUGUGUAAGUUUGGAGUGAAAGUCCCGCAUUCAAUGUGGGAAUUGCUUUGGAUACUGGAGUGCUAGAGUGCGGAAGAGGUCAGUGGAAUUCCCAGUGUAGCGGUGAAAUGGGUAGAAAGCAGUAGGAACACCAGUGGCGAAGGCGUCUUACUGGGCCGAUCCUGACGCGCAGGAGCGAAAGCGUGGGGAGCAAAGAGGAUUAGAUUCCCGGGUAGUCCACGCCGUAAACGAUGAGUGCUAGCUGCGGGAGAUAUCAUACUUUCUCCGGUGGCGUAGAAAACUCGUUAAACACUCCGCCUGGGAAGUACGCCCGCGAGGUUAACACACAAAGGAUUAGGCGG